GACGAACGCUGGCGGCGUGCUUAACACAUGCAAGUCGAGCGGUAAGGCCCUUCGGGGUACACGAGCGGCGAACGGGUGAGUAACACGAGGGUGACCUGCCCUCCACCCUGGGAUAAGCCUGGGAAACCGGGACUAAUACCGGAAAUGACCUCCGCAUGCUGCUGCGGGGGGGGAAAGUUCUGGCGUCGGGGGAUGGGGCCGCGGUCUAUCAGCUUGUUGGUGGGGUGAGGGCCUUCCAAGGCGACGACGGAAAGGCGGCCUGGGAGGGUGAGCGGCCACGCUGGGACGGAGACACGGCCCAGAGACAUCGGGGAGGCAGCAGCGGGGAGUAGUGCGCGAGGAGCGGACGCCUGACGCGGAAGCGCCGCGUGGCGGAUGCCGGCCUUCGGGUUGGACAUCUCUUUCGCGAUCGACGUAGCCCGUACUUCUAGUGCGGGUGACGGUAGGUCGUGAAGAAGCACCGGCCAACUACGUG
Molecule: ribosomal RNA, 475 nt
Filed under: uncultured bacterium
Lineage: Bacteria
Description: partial 16S ribosomal RNA
Rfam family: Bacterial small subunit ribosomal RNA
Source: RNAcentral